UGGGGAAUAUUGCACAAUGGGCGCAAGCCUGAUGCAGCCACGCCGCGUGUAUGGAUGAAGGCCUUCGGGUUGUAAAGUACUUUCAGCGGGGAGGAAGGGAGUAAAGUUAAUACCUUUGCUCAUUGACGUUACCCGCASAAGAAGCACCGGCUAACUCUAUGCCAGCAGCCGCGGUAAUUA
Molecule: ribosomal RNA, 180 nt
Filed under: uncultured bacterium
Lineage: Bacteria
Description: partial 16S ribosomal RNA
Rfam family: Bacterial small subunit ribosomal RNA
Source: RNAcentral